Small nucleolar RNA from Mercurialis annua (annual mercury), 157 nucleotides. RefSeq annotates it as small nucleolar RNA snoR138. The record is from RefSeq and is a predicted model, not a curated record. The transcript has a single exon. Lineage: Eukaryota; Viridiplantae; Streptophyta; Magnoliopsida; Malpighiales; Euphorbiaceae.
AUUGCCUCCGAAUAACCAGAAGGUUGCUUAAACGACGACGUUUGGUUCAGACAGAGGCAUAUAACAAAUUUGAAUCGGUUUUUAGGUAAGGAUAUUUUCUUUUUUUUUUAUUAGUAAAAGAAAAUUAAUUUCCUUUCCUAUAUGGAUUCAAAUAUUU